AGUGAACGCUGGCGGCAGGCCUAACACAUGCAAGUCGAACGGCAGCACAAGAGAGCUUGCUCUCUGGGUGGCGAGUGGCGGCCGGGUGAGGAAUGCAUCGGAAUCUGCCCAUUUGUGGGGGAUAACCUCGGGAAACCGGGACUAAUACCGCAUACGACCUACGGGUGAAAGCAGGGGAUCUUCGGACCUUGCGCAGAUGGAUGAGCCGAUGCCGGAUUAGCUAGUUGGAGGGGUAAAGGCCCACCAAGGCGACGAUCCGUAGCUGGUCUGAGAGGAUGAUCAGCCACACUGGGACUGAGACACGGCCCAGACUCCUACGGGAGGCAGCAGUGGGGAAUAUUGGACAAUGGGCGCAAGCCUGAUCCAGCCAUGCCGCGUGUGUGAAGAAGGCCUUCGGGUUGUAAAGCACUUUUGUUGGGAAAGAAAAGCAGCCGGUUAAUACCCGGUUGUCAUGACGGUACCCAAAGAAUAAGCACCGGCUAACUUCGUG
Molecule: ribosomal RNA, 490 nt
Filed under: uncultured bacterium
Lineage: Bacteria
Description: partial 16S ribosomal RNA
Rfam family: Bacterial small subunit ribosomal RNA
Source: RNAcentral